Molecule: long non-coding RNA, 1174 nt
Filed under: Ceratitis capitata (Mediterranean fruit fly)
Lineage: Eukaryota; Metazoa; Arthropoda; Insecta; Diptera; Tephritidae
Description: uncharacterized LOC110118262, transcript variant X2
Source: RNAcentral
AGGUCAGGUUACUCUCCUUCUAAUCCUUCCAACGGAGUGGAAGUCUUCAUCUUCCUCUACUUCACCGAAGACAAAUUUAGCACGGCAACACACCCAACUAAAUACUAGCCAUUUUAUUCAAAACUCAGAGAAACGAAGCGAAAAAUCAACUUAAUGAGUGCGUAAAAAAGUGUGCUUGUAUGAGUGAAAAAUAUGAGUUUUGUUUCUUGUAGGUUUGUACAAUGACCAAUGGGAAUCAUUAAUAGGAUCCUGAAGAUUUAUCACAUACUUUACAUAUAUUAUCAUCAUACAUCAACAAUACCUUUGUAAUAAUCGUCUAUAUUAUCUCAAUUUCUGUAAAUGUACAAAAAAAAAACUUUUUUAUACCGAACCAACUAUAUGAAAUUAAUUCAACUAAAAAAUAAUAAUUUAUAUUUUCUAAUCCCCUCUUGGCAGGGAACGUCACCCUCUCUGAAUGUACUUCUGACAUAAAAUAGCUCAUCAUAAAAAUCCAUCAGCCUUUCAGAGGCAGUUUAGAAUAAACUCCCAUUAUUUAUCAAAAACAUCAACACGCACACCACAAAUAGGAGAGGCUCGGCCAGAGUUCGUUUCAGCAGUUUAAAAGCGUCAAUUUAUAUAACAAAUGUUUGUAUACACAUCUUUUUCCCAAAAUAAUUGAUAAUUUUCAAUAUUGAUAUAAAUUCCCCUGUCGAAAUCUCUAAUCUACUUCACCUUACUUUCAACUACUCUUUUUAUUGACUGUUCGCACAGCAAAGCAAGGAAGUCAGUCGACAAUUUUUAUAAUAAUAAUUCGUUCUCUUCUCAGAUAUUUUAUAUUUAACUGAUUACUGUCGUGCGUAUAUGCGACACCUAAAACACAAAUUCCGAAUUACCCAUACAAAUGCAUGCAAAAUGUAUAGCUGGGUGUCAUACCGACCCUCUUCAGUGCACUGGAUCAUUAAAGUGAAGUUUUCAAGUAUUUUAAAACUGUUUUUUCUGAUGGAAGUGACGGCAAAAUUAGAGCAGGCCGCGGUAGCUGAGUAGUUAACUUGGGUACUGCAAUUCGGAAGGCUCCCGUUCAAAUCCUGGUGUCGUACUAACAUCCCGCGUAUUCGAUGGUCCACAGAUGAUGUUAUUAGACGUUUAUUAAAUCCUGUUAAAAACGUGCAUGAAUAAACGUACAUUUUUAGCUAAA